ACAUGAUAUCUAAACGAUACGAGAUCCUAAAACAUUUCUCUCCGUUCAUAUCUCAACGUUCCUGAAAGUUCGUAAGAAUAAAUAAUUUUUACGAAAACUCACGCUCGAACAAACCAACAGAUUGAACGCCUCAACGAAGUUAAAUAUGAGAAGACAACUCAUGUUUACUUCAAACCAACUCGAAACAAAGUAACUCAAACAAACAUCCAUUAUAUAUAUAAUCCGCAUAGCGGUAGGGGUUCAAAGCCACCGACGGCCAGUCCCGAUAAAAAUAAAAGUGGCCAAAACAGGCCCAUACGAAGUUCGAAGGCCGCACUCGGCCGGACAUAUAUGAACGAAGGCCACACUUGGCCGCAGAAU
This 360-nucleotide long non-coding RNA is filed under the name Brassica napus (rape). RNAcentral's name for it is "long non-coding RNA (BNAP_LNC022685)". The record is from RNAcentral. Lineage: Eukaryota; Viridiplantae; Streptophyta; Magnoliopsida; Brassicales; Brassicaceae.